This 292-nucleotide unclassified non-coding RNA is filed under the name uncultured fungus. RNAcentral describes it as "sequence contains ITS1". The record is from RNAcentral. Lineage: Eukaryota; Fungi.
GGACUACACGGGUUUCUAAUCCUGUUUGCUCCCCACGCUUUCGUGCAUGAGCGUCAAUCUUGACCCAGGGGGCUGCCUUCGCCAUCGGUGUUCCUCCACAUCUCUACGCAUUUCACUGCUACACGUGGAAUUCUACCCCCCUCUGCCAGAUUCUAGCCUUGCAGUCUCCAUCGCAAUUCCCAGGUUGAGCCCGGGGAUUUCACGACAGACUUACAAAACCGCCUGCGCACGCUUUACGCCCAGUAAUUCCGAUUAACGCUUGCACCCUACGUAUUACCGCGGCGGCUGGCAC